GCACUGCUGAGGAGUCCCAUAAUAGGACGAAACGGCCGUCCAGUGC
Non-coding RNA from Schistosoma rodhaini, 46 nucleotides. Lineage: Eukaryota; Metazoa; Platyhelminthes; Trematoda; Strigeidida; Schistosomatidae. The record is from Rfam.